This is a long non-coding RNA of Episyrphus balteatus (marmalade hoverfly), 295 nucleotides long. RefSeq lists it as uncharacterized. The transcript has 2 exons. The record is from RefSeq and is a predicted model, not a curated record. Lineage: Eukaryota; Metazoa; Arthropoda; Insecta; Diptera; Syrphidae.
GAGUUGAUAAUUCAAGGAUUUAAGCAAAAAAACUUGUCGUAAUAAAGUCUAUUUUUUAUAUACUCUACUAGGUAUCCAGGAUUCCAGCCUGAAUCCCAAAGGACCCAUUGUAACUAAAUCCAUUUGACAUUAUGAACCCAAAAGCACAUGGUAAUGUGAAUAUUCUGGCUAUGAACUGGAGGAGGAUACAUGGUGUUUAAUUUGCUCUCGUUAAGUCCUUUCACCUGACCUUAAACAAAAAAAAAAACAAAGUUGAAUACCUUUUUCGUUCUUCCUCCAAUUGACUUUUUCCGAA